CAUAGGUUAAUGAGGCGAACCGGGGGAACUGAAACAUCUAAGUACCCCGAGGAAAAGAAAUCAACCGAGAUUCCCCCAGUAGCGGCGAGCGAACGGGGAGGAGCCCAGAGCCUGAAUCAGUGUGUGUGUUAGUGGAAGCGUCUGGAAAGGCGCGCGAUACAGGGUGACAGCCCCGUACACAAAAAUGCACAUGCUGUGAGCUCGAUGAGUAGGGCGGGACACGUGGUAUCCUGUCUGAAUAUGGGGGGACCAUCCUCCAAGGCUAAAUACUCCUGACUGACCGAUAGUGAACCAGUACCGUGAGGGAAAGGCGAAAAGAACCCCGGCGAGGGGAGUGAAAAAGAACCUGAAACCGUGUACGUACAAGCAGUGGGAGCACAGAGCAAUCUGUGUGACUGCGUACCUUUUGUAUAAUGGGUCAGCGACUUAUAUUCUGUAGCAAGGUUAACCGAAUAGGGGAGCCGAAGGGAAACCGAGUCUUAACUGGGCGUUAAGUUGCAGGGUAUAGACCCGAAACCCGGUGAUCUAGCCAUGGGCAGGUUGAAGGUUGGGUAACACUAACUGGAGGACCGAACCGACUAAUGUUGAAAAAUUAGCGGAUGACUUGUGGCUGGGGGUGAAAGGCCAAUCAAACCGGGAGAUAGCUGGUUCUCCCCGAAAGCUAUUUAGGUAGCGCCUCGUGAAUUCAUCUCCGGGGGUAGAGCACUGUUUCGGCAAGGGGGUCAUCCCGACUUACCAACCCGAUGCAAACUGCGAAUACCGGAGAAUGUUAUCACGGGAGACACACGGCGGGUGCUAACGUCCGUCGUGAAGAGGGAAACAACCCAGACCGCCAGCUAAGGUCCCAAAGUCAUGGUUAAGUGGGAAACGAUGUGGGAAGGCCCAGACAGCCAGGAUGUUGGCUUAGAAGCAGCCAUCAUUUAAAGAAAGCGUAAUAGCUCACUGGUCGAGUCGGCCUGCGCGGAAGAUGUAACGGGGCUAAACCAUGCACCGAAGCUGCGGCAGCGACACUGUGUGUUGUUGGGUAGGGGAGCGU
RNAcentral lists this ribosomal RNA (1036 nucleotides) under Escherichia coli. Its description in RNAcentral is "partial 23S ribosomal RNA". It matches the Rfam family "Bacterial large subunit ribosomal RNA", at positions 165 to 1239 of the family's 2925-position model. The record is from RNAcentral. Lineage: Bacteria; Pseudomonadati; Pseudomonadota; Gammaproteobacteria; Enterobacterales; Enterobacteriaceae.